GAUGAACGCUGGCGGCGUGCCUAAUACAUGCAAGUCGAGCGAACAGACGAGGAGCUUGCUCCUCUGACGUUAGCGGCGGACGGGUGAGCAACACGUGGAUAACCUACCUAUAAGACUGGGAUAACUUCGGGAAACCGGAGCUAAUACCGGAUAAUAUAUUGAACCGCAUGGUUCAAUAGUGAAAGACGGUUUUGCUGUCACUUAUAGAUGGAUCCGCGCCGCAUUAGCUAGUUGGUAAGGUAACGGCUUACCAAGGCAACGAUGCGUAGCCGACCUGAGAGGGUGGUCGGCCACACUGGAACUGAGACACGGUCCAGACUCCUACGGGAGGCAGCAGUAGGGAAUCUUCCGCAAUGGGCGAAAGCCUGACGGAGCAACGCCGCGUGAGUGAUGAAGGUCUUCGGAUCGUAAAACUCUGUUAUUAGGGAAGAACAAAUGUGUAAGUAACUAUGCACGUCUUGACGGUACCUAAUCAGAAAGCCACGGCUAACUACGUG
Molecule: ribosomal RNA, 497 nt
Filed under: uncultured bacterium
Lineage: Bacteria
Description: partial 16S ribosomal RNA
Rfam family: Bacterial small subunit ribosomal RNA
Source: RNAcentral